This 894-nucleotide ribosomal RNA is filed under the name Shigella dysenteriae. Its description in RNAcentral is "bacterial LSU rRNA". It matches the Rfam family "Bacterial large subunit ribosomal RNA", at positions 1972 to 2860 of the family's 2925-position model. Lineage: Bacteria; Pseudomonadati; Pseudomonadota; Gammaproteobacteria; Enterobacterales; Enterobacteriaceae. The record is from RNAcentral.
UCGGGUAAGUUCCGACCUGCACGAAUGGCGUAAUGAUGGCCAGGCUGUCUCCACCCGAGACUCAGUGAAAUUGAACUCGCUGUGAAGAUGCAGUGUACCCGCGGCAAGACGGAAAGACCCCGUGAACCUUUACUAUAGCUUGACACUGAACAUUGAGCCUUGAUGUGUAGGAUAGGUGGGAGGCUUUGAAGUGUGGACGCCAGUCUGCAUGGAGCCGACCUUGAAAUACCACCCUUUAAUGUUUGAUGUUCUAACGUUGACCCGUAAUCCGGGUUGCGGACAGUGUCUGGUGGGUAGUUUGACUGGGGCGGUCUCCUCCUAAAGAGUAACGGAGGAGCACGAAGGUUGGCUAAUCCUGGUCGGACAUCAGGAGGUUAGUGCAAUGGCAUAAGCCAGCUUGACUGCGAGCGUGACGGCGCGAGCAGGUGCGAAAGCAGGUCAUAGUGAUCCGGUGGUUCUGAAUGGAAGGGCCAUCGCUCAACGGAUAAAAGGUACUCCGGGGAUAACAGGCUGAUACCGCCCAAGAGUUCAUAUCGACGGCGGUGUUUGGCACCUCGAUGUCGGCUCAUCACAUCCUGGGGCUGAAGUAGGUCCCAAGGGUAUGGCUGUUCGCCAUUUAAAGUGGUACGCGAGCUGGGUUUAGAACGUCGUGAGACAGUUCGGUCCCUAUCUGCCGUGGGCGCUGGAGAACUGAGGGGGGCUGCUCCUAGUACGAGAGGACCGGAGUGGACGCAUCACUGGUGUUCGGGUUGUCAUGCCAAUGGCACUGCCCGGUAGCUAAAUGCGGAAGAGAUAAGUGCUGAAAGCAUCUAAGCACGAAACUUGCCCCGAGAUGAGUUCUCCCUGACUCCUUGAGAGUCCUGAAGGAACGUUGAAGACGACGACGUUGAUAGG